UUACUUCACUGAAGAAACAUACAAGGUGAUGAUCUAUGUCUGUCUAGUUUUAGGACUUAGUAUAUCUAGCUUGGCUGAGUAAUUUUUUCUUUUAACCAGUAAACAGAAGCCACUGCAGCAGGCUUCAAAGCUAAAAUAUUGCUCUGUGUAGACUGUCUGUAUUUUUGUAGCUUAUGUUUUGAAUUUAUAGCAUUAUAGUGUGCUGCUUAUCAUUUGGAUUAUAUUGUAUAAAGAUAACAAAAUAAGCUUUAAAGUCUUCUUUAAUUAUUUUUUCUACUUUAUUUAUAACUGGCAUCUUUCCUAUUGUAUUGAGUUAAAUAUAUCUAACAUUAUUGCUUUGCUUUUUUUAAUAUGUUUAGUUGUUGAUGGACCUUUAUUUUAUUUAUUUAUUUAUAUGUAGGACUAAGAAUUGACCCCAGUGCCUUACACACAUGCUAGGCAAGUGCUCUACCACUGAGCUACCAUCCCAGCCCUUGUGUUUUUUUUUUAAUAUUUAUUUUUUAGGUUAGAUGGACUCAACACAAUGCCUUAUUUUAUGUGGUGCUGAGGAUCGAACCCAGGUCCCGCCUGUGUUAGGCGAGCGCUCUACCGCUGAGCCACAAUCCCAGUCCCCAGCCUUUGCUUUGCUUUUAUUUGUAUUCAACACGAAGCAAGUUUGAAAUGUUCUGUAUUUUAUAAUAAUCAUGCAGCUUCCAAAGUAUCAAGGUUAAGAAAUAAAAGUCACUGCAGAAAUUAUUAGGACAGUGUCAGAAAAAAAUGAAUAAUUUCAAAUUACAUGGUUAAUAACAUGUUUAUUGAAGAUACCGUAUAUCUUUACCAGAAACCAGAAUAUAUUCUCUUUUCAAAGUUACCUCCACUCUUCUUUUCAGUUUAUUUGUUCAUUAUUGAUAAAAGUGAUUUCACAGUGUGCUAUAAAUUAUAAAAUGCUGUUGGGUUUAAUAGUCUUACAAAGUUUUAUUUGGUUACUUGGACGAUUUUUAGACUGCUUUGUAUUUAGCAUUGCAGGUUAUAUUUCUUUCUCUCUUUUCUCCUUUUAAAAGUAUUUUAUAUGUAGGCCACUUCCGGAAUGUUAUACAGGUUCGGAUCCCUUAUUUGAAAUGCUUGGGACUCAAAAAGUGCUUUGGAUUUCAGAUUUUUUUGUAUUUUAGAAUAGUUGCAAAUACAUAAUUAAUUAUAUUUGGUGGGGACCCAAUUCUAAAUCCAGAAUUCAUUUAUGUUUCACAUAUACCUUGGUGGGGACCCAAUUCUAAAUCCAGAAUUCAUUUAUGUUUCACAUAUACCUUUAUAUAUAUAUGUACAUAGGUAAUUUUAUAUAAUAUUUUUUUAAUGUAUCUAUAUUUUGGCUGUGUCUUGUCACAUGAGCUCAGGUGUGGGAUUUUUUUAUUUGUAAUUAUGUUGGUGCUUAAAAAGUUUCCAAUGUCAGAGCAUUUCAGAUUUUUGGAUUAGAGCUGCUCAAACUACAUAUAUUCAUUUACUUUAAAAAAAAAAAAAAAACAUGGUGUCAUUAAAAAAAAAAAAACUUUUAUUUUGUUUAUUUAUUUAUUUAUUUAUUUUUAUGUGGUGCUGAGGAUCAAACUAAGUGCCUCACACGUGCUAGGCAAGUGCUCUACCACUGAGCCACAACCCCAGCCCUCUUUCAUUUUUUUAUUUUUUCAUACAUAAUUGUUCACUGUUAAAUGUGUGCUGAAUGUUAUGGAGUUUAUAGGGAUAAACACUGUUCUUGCCUCAAGAAAUUUGCUUUAACUCAUGUAGAUAAGAUUGCAGAAAAAAAGCAAGAUAAACAUCAUGUGUAAGGAUAAAUGUGAAUAAAAGGGUUCAGAGGGGAAAGAUGUCCAGAGUUCUCGGGUACUGCGGUAUUCAUUUAGGACAGUGAGCCAAACUGAAAGUCAAGCUUUUGCUGAUUUAUGGUGAUAAGUAAGAAGUCAUGAAGGAAUGAGUGGGUUCCUUCAGUGUUCCAUUUUUCCCAGCAAAUGACACUAGUUGGAGGUCCAAUGACUCAACCCAGAUCACAGUUAGAGGGUCUUCUCACUGCCAGGAGGUUCCAAAUAGAAAACUUCUGCUUUAUGGACUUGAGAGCUAAAAAGGUAGGGACAAGAGGGUUAAAAAUGGAAACAUACUAAGUGAAAGGUCCUUACCGCCUUAUUUGCUCUUAAGGAGGUCUUCCUGAAGGUAUUUAAAAAGAAUCUCAGUAUAGGGUUUCCUUCCCAUGGGGGGCCUUUGAAUAGAGUGACAAGGCUAGGAAUGCAAAUAGCUCACCGUUGGGGAAGAAGAUGAAAUUGCAACUUCCUGUAGAAAUCAUGAUGCCCUAACUAACUAUGCACCAAGUCUGGUAUAAGAAGGGCAGCCCACCCUAUCCUUUGUCCUACCCCUGCAAAUCCUGUCACAUAAAGCCUGUGUAAUUGCCUGUGAUUGAGUAUGAAAGGAUUUUGGCCUGGACUGGAUUGCUAAGAAAAGUUAUUUAGAUGGUAGGAUUUGGAAGACCUUUACUAAAUGAAUGGUAUUAAAUUGCUUCUUGGGGAAGAGGGAGAAUUUGUGGUAUUCAGCUUUGCAGUGAGAGUGGGGAACAACAAGAGGAAAAACACUUAAGCAGACUGAGUGAGUUUAAAGAACCCUUUGGUACAUUUGGUUGUGUAAUACUCUCUAGGGUGAGAAGGGUAGGAAGGCGGACUAAAUCAUUUGUAGAUAAUAUGGAAGUACAUGUUGAUUUUGAAGUAGGGGAAUAGAGCUAAGUUUAUCUUAUAAUAGUGAACAAGAUGAACUGGAUAACAGAAAGAACAUUUGGGAAACUGUAAAAUAAUUUGACCCAAGGAACCUUUAUGAAGCGAGGUGGGAGGUCAUGUUUUUACUUAAGAUGUUAAUAACUAUUGUACCUCUUGCAAAAAUGUACUUAAGAGUUGGAAUGCAGCAAUGGAAGAGUAACCCUCUAACUUUUCUCUGAAACUCAACUGCCAUUCUCAAUAGUUACGACUGUUUUUCUUUUCUCCAUGCUUCCCUUUGUUUCUUUACUACUGGUAAGUCACAAUUUUUUUUCUUAAAAAAUAUUUUUCUGGCUAUCAAGUGAGCUCUUAUAUUUUGAAGCAGUGCUAAGUAAAAAUUUUGUNCUCAUGAGGCUGAGGCAGGACUAUCUCAGGUUCAAAGCCAGCCUCAACAAUUUAGCAAGGUCUGAAGCAACUAAGUGAAAAACCCUAUCUCUAAAUAAAACAUAAAAAGGGUUGGGGAUGUGACUCAGUGGUUCAGCACCCCUGGUUCAAUCCUGGUGUCAAAAAAGGAAAGGAUUAAUUAAAACUACUUAUUUUACAUAAUUAUCAACAUUCAGAGUUGAAUUAACUUGGAAGGAGGAAGAUUAAUGUGCAAUUAAUAUUUUGGUGACUUUGUGAAUUGGGCAAUUUUUGGUGAGCUAUCCUGAAUGACUACUCAUUUUUUUCUAGAGGAGAAUUUCAUUUUAGAUAAGUGGUUUCAAUGAACUUUUGAAGAAUGAUGGUAAAUCAUACUAAACUCAUUAAACAGAUAGUCUGAAGACUUAAACGUUUUUGAUACAAUUUACAAACCAUGUUAAGCCAGUCUUAUUUUUGACCCCCUUUCUUCUUAUGUCUUUCUAUUGAUGUAUCAAAAACAGUGGUUUUUAUACUUUUUUUCCCCUUUUUGUGUACAACAGAGUGGUUUUUUCAAAUGAAAUGUUUCCAGAAGCCUGAGCUGAAAAGAGAAGAGGAUUGCUGGUUCAAGUAGGGAAGGAGCCCUAGAGCAGGUGUCUUCCAGAGUCCUAUAGCAGCCUCUGUGGCAUCUGUAUAGUUCAGGACAUGGUUUGAAAACUACCCACUUCGAAAUACUUUGUCCCCCAACAGAAGAUAAAAAUAAUGCUACAUUUAAAAGAAAAUUCAGAGGAAAUGACUGUUAUCUUUUCUCCUUAGUUCAAGAUAAAAUACUUGAAAAUACACAGACCUUUUAUAAGGUCUUUUGUGUGUGUUGGGGAGCGUAUUGGUAAUUUAAUCCAGAGUUGCUCUACCACUGAGCUACAUCUUCAGUCUUUUUUAUUUUUUGGGAUAGGAUCUAACAAAGUUGCUGGUCUUGAACUUGUGAUCCUUCUGCCUCAACCUCUGGAAUAGCUGGGAAGGUUUUUAAACAUUCUUGAUUAGCUUAUAUGAAAAGUAUCAGAAAGAAAAUUGUGAUGCAGUGUUUUUUUCUUAAUGUCAACUUAAGAUGUCAUUGACAGAAUGUAGAAUUUGAUUUCUUACUACUUAAUGACACCUCCCCCCAAAGGCAUAUACAAAUGUUUAUUUUGGAAAGUAGAUAACACAUUUAAGAGAGAAUGGGAGCAGUCUCAAAAAAGAGAUGCCUUGGGGUAAAGCAAGGAAUAUUCCUAGGGAGCAUGUGGGUUAUCUCCAGAGGGAGAGACAGCAACCCAUUAGUGUGGGCCACUCAUGUUUAUAGAGGGCAAGUGCUAGGGGAUGAACUAGAGGUGGAGCCAGAGUGGAGCUACACAGUUUUGCACCAGUUUCCCUUUGCUUGUGCAUUUCCUUAACAUGCAUGGGCCAAGGGCAUGUAGCUCAAGAUUGACAAUUGUGCUUUCUGCAUGUCAAUGGCUAGUGGGCAUUUCCUUUAAGACUCUCUCUCUUUAUCCUAAAUCCCUGUGUCCUAUGUAAUGACUUUUAAUAUUAUAUAAUAAGUAUUAUCUUAGAAAACCUGGUUAAAUCAAACUUUAAGAAAUUAAAACGUAUUUAUUCAGAAUAAUGGGUAUAAAUUUUUCUUCUUUUUUAUUUAUUUGUAUCCUCUGUUUUGGAGAAGGUCCCCAAAACACUUCUAGAUUUCUUCUACCCAUCAAAUGUUUGUUCUCUCCCUUCCCAAUAGGAAGCAACUACUAACCGCCUACCUGAGCACAAGUUUCAGAGAAAUUUUAAUCUACCUGUCCUUAACCACCUCAGUUCAUGCUGUCUGUUCAAAUAGAAUUUAUAAUUAAUUACUUAAGUAUCUUUUUAAAGAAAUAUCUUUAUAAAAAGAACUUUUAACAUCAUUUUGGAAGAAUUAAACCAACUCAUGUAAAUGCUGUAGGUAUAAAGUGCUGCUUAAUAUCAUUUACUAGAAUGUAGACAAAGUGGUCCUGAAUUCAUUGUUUAAUUCUCUGAAACUGCUUAAUAAAUCUGCUAACAUUGACAACAUUUAAGUAAUGCAUAAUGCAGUCACUUAAUCAUGUAAAAUGACUUUAAAUCGUAUCUUUAUUCUUAUUUUGCAUUUUUAUGGGAUUUUUAUUACAAUAUUAUUUGAUAGCUUAUUAAAAUUUACUAAGUUGAUUUCUCCUUAGGAAGAAAAAUUCUAAUGCAAAUAUAUUGAAAAAGUCUUAUUUUUUCUUUUUAGUAGUAAGAAUAUACAUUUCCCCUAAAUAACUUUAUCAUAAUCUUAUCCCCAAAAUUAUUGCUUUUUAAAUGCAAUGAUUUGGUAUAUUUAAAUAUUAUUUUAAAAACAUGUUCGGGCUUUAAUCUUUUUGGAGGUUUUAGAGCUAGUGAAAAGCCUAAUCCUGUCUAGUUUACCAUAAUGCAUCAUUUGAUAGAAGAGGUCAUUUUUUAAUAGCAGAAAUGCUUUAUAAUACUUGAUAAGCUUGUGCAUGGAUUUGUACAAGUGCUUUUUCUCUUUUUAAGAAGAAAAGAUCGAGAUCAAAAAUACCUACUGCUAAUAAAAAAGAUUAGUUAUGAUUAUAAGAAAUAUAGCUUUCCAUUGCUUUUUUUAUUAGUGCAUAUUAAUUUUACAACAUGAUGGGUUUCAUUGUGGUAUAUUCUUGACUUUGCUUUAUUUAAAUUUAAUUACAAAUAUAUAAGCUGUAACCCAAUUUCUUUCUUGCUUUUUUUUCUUUCAGUAAAUCUUGUCUCAUUUUGGCAUUGUUUCUCAUUUCAACUGUGUGUUCUUUGUAUAAAUCUUGCUCAGUCUGCAUGACAUUAGUGUUUUCAGCCUGCUUUGUAUUAAUGGCUUCUUACAUUUGAAUGUUUAUAAUUGGCAGUUCUCUUCAAUAAUAAUUCAAAUUAAAUGAUGCUGUUUCUGCAACAUAAUUAGAAAUAUUUUUAAACAUUAUUUUCAUAAUAUGUAAUUUUAAUUUAUGAAACAUUUCCAACAUAAAAUACUUGUUUUUCUUUUUUUUCCUAUUUAUAUAGAAGUGGUACACCAUCCCCCAAACGGACAUCCGUAGGUUCCAGGCCACCAGCAGUAAGAGGCAGCAGAGACCGUUUCACUGGGGAAUCAUACACAGUGCUAGGUAGGAUAAAACAAUAACUCUUAACAGUCUCAAAUUAAAGGCACCACAGCCACACUGAUAAAUUUUCUACUCCUCAGAGCUAGAGCAGUUUCCUGUGUAUUGAAUGAAUCUUUGCAGAGGUUUAUCCCUAUUGAAGCUUAAUUACUUGGGGGCUUUUGAAAUUUACUCAUUAGUCAUACUUUUAAAAUUCUUAUUUUAACUUACUAGUGAUUCCUAAUAUAAGCAUAACCCUUGAGAGGUUGGUAAGGAAGAAAAUUCUGAAGAAUUUUGUACUCAGGGAAAAAAAAAACUACAAAAGUAAAGUUAAGCAAGUACUCUGCAUUUAGUGUCUGUAUGUUAACAUGAUUAUUUUCAAAGAGAAAUUGAAUUUAAUUUUUUGAAUUAAAUUUGUGGAAUGAAUGAUACAUAAGAAUCUGUGUAAUUCCUGAGAAAGAGAUUAGAGUCGAGUAUCUUUCUUAUCUUUUGUAGGAGACACUGCUAUUGAAAGUGGACAACAUUAUUGGGAGGUCAAGGCCCAGAAGGACUGUAAAUCCUAUAGUGUGGGAGUAGCAUACAAAACUUUGGGGAAAUUUGACCAAUUGGGAAAGACAAACACUAGUUGGUGUAUCCAUGUCAACAACUGGCUACAAAAUACUUUUGCAGCAAAACACAAUAAUAAAGUCAAAGCUUUGGAUGUUACUGUUCCAGAGAAAAUAGGUGUAUUUUGUGAUUUUGAUGGGGGUAAGUUUACUUACUUUUUCAUAAGUCAUUUCAUCAUAACUACUUAUGUUUCAGUACUUUUCAUUGGUAAUCACCUCUACAGAAUUUCUGUUAAUAUCAUGGUAAGGACAUUUUGGCCAACUAGGUUUUGAUCACAAACAUAAUCUCAGUACUAGAGUUAGACUGGAAGGGCAUAUUAUGUCUGCCUGGAGCUCUAUAAAAGCACUCAUUUAUAAUAUGCUAAGUCUGAAAUAUUUUGCUAAUUUUAGUCUUAAACACUAAAAUUUUUCUUGUUUUUAUUCCUUCCUUACUGUUCUAUUACCCGUGUAUAAACAAUGGUGAAGUCAGAUUUUUUGAGUUGGAAUAAACCUUGGAAAUUAUCCAGUCCAUCUUCCACACAAUAUAAAAUUUGUAUUACACUAUUUCUGCAGGAGUUGCCACUUCUUUGCUCAAAUAACUUUUUAGUCUGAACAUUAUUGUCUUAGAAGUCCUGUUUCUUGGGAGGGCUCUUGAUUAGGUUUUUCUAAAAUGAACUCACUUUACCUCUCUGUAAUUUGUAAAAAUGUUGUUUUUAAAUUCUGACACCUGAAUAAACACAGAAUUAUAUUUUGUAAUUCACACAAUAAUUCUUAUUUGUUAAAAUGCAUUAAAUUGAUUUCUUUUCAAAUCCUUAUAAUCUCCUAAAGUGAUAUACUAUGUCAAUGCAUUUCUUAAAACAUUGGUUUUACAAUGUUUCUUUCCAAGUUGUCACUUUAAGCUAAUAAUGGAAAAUUUUUAUCAUUUUAAGUCACAUUGGGUCCAGACAAUCCCAUGCUGUCAACUUAAUCACUCAAAAAAGGAAAAAAAAAUUAAUUUGGGCCAAUUUAUUUUUAGUGAUGACAUGUCAGUUUGGUACAUUCUUUUUUACUUAUUCCCUUUGAAUAAGAUGAACCAUUUUCUACAGAAUGACAAAUUUACUGGUGCACUUUAAAAAAUAUAUAUUUUCAGCUACCAGGACAAUAUUUGCUUAUCAUCCUUUCUCCUUUCCCAUAUGGUUAUUUUAUAUAGAUGAUAGGGAGAAGUAAUUUUAGCUAACAGCAUAGAGUACAAAGGGGGAAGCUGUAAUGUAGGAUGUAAUCAGAUUCUGAGAGCCUUGAAAAAAUGUUUAUAGACUAGUCUUUAGUAGUGGGGAGGGUUGGCUGUGUACAUUUUAGAAAAAUAUAGUCAUGUGAUGAUAAUCUUAUAUUAGAAAUAUUAGAAAGUAAGUGAUUAAAAGACGGAAGAGAUUACAAAAAUAAAGAGCAUAAGACGUUUUAGGAGUUAGUCUAAAGUAUAAGGCAUGACCAUGUUUAUUUUGUUAACUAUUAAAUUGUUAUUGCCUGCUAAGUGCUUUUAACACAGGAAGUCCUAAUAAGUAUUUGUUAAGUGAUUGGCAACAAAAACCCAAGCAGUUGGAAAUCAAGAAUGAAAUUGAUGGUGUAAAAUUUAUAGAACUUGGUAACUAAAUAUAGAUUGGGGGAAGAGACAAAGAAGAAUGGAAGGCAGCUCUGAGGUUCCAGCCAGUGUGACAAAGAGGAUGGCAGUGUCAGUGGGUUAAGGAACAGAGAGAGUCCAGUGGAAAACUGAGAUUAUAGCAGGACAACCAUGUGACAUAUUUAGCAAACAUUUAGAAAUUCUUGAACUCAGAAGUAGAGCUGAAACUAAAUAUUUGAAGCAGCAGCACAGAGUGACUACUGAAGAUUACACAGAAUAAUAUGCUUGAACAUUAUUGCACUGUUGUUACUAACUUUGCAAUCAUGUAGGUUGCUUCAUGUUUUGAGAUAAUCAUAUAUAUAAAGCACCAAGUACUUUAACAGUAUACAUAAAUGUUAGUUUCUUUUUCUUACUCUCUGGUAGCAACUGGUUUAUUAAGAGAGCAUUUCAUAAAUGCUCUCUUAACACAGACAAAGCAGCUUUAAAGCAGAAUAGGAGGAAAAGGAAGAGAGAGAAAGUAUCUUUAGGGUUAGGAUUCAAACCAAGAAUAUAGUCAUUAAAGAAAGGCUUCGCGAACUAACAGUCCUAUGGAGGUCAUCAGAUCAGAUUAGAUAGGAGGUCAGAUGGAGUUAUUUUAAGGCAUGAUCCUGUUGAAAGACAGACUGUGAGGGGAUUUGAAAAUUAACAAAGCUGAAGCAGUGAUGAAUAUACUAUGAUUUCAGAGACUGGAGUAUGAGUCUGGCCUUAAGUAGUUAGUAUUUUAAAUAUAGUAAGCCUUAAAUAAAUAGAGGAUUUGGGUAGAGUAAAAAUAAGGAGGAAGAAACUUCCUUGUUUUUUUACUGGGCUCAUGAAAAUUUUUGUUAAAUAAUGAUAAAUAGUUUAUAGCUGAAUAAGUACAACAGUGUCAGAUUAUGGUGAAACAGUAUGGAGAUCUUAAAAACAAGGGGAAGAAGAAGAAAAUUGGAUUUGGGCAUUUUCUUAAGCACGUUCACUGAUUUUUCUAGUGAAAGUAAGUUCAAUCCUUAGAGUUUGUAAUAAAAAAUUAAUGCAAAGAUGGGCCUUAAGUUAUUAUUUUUGCAUGACUACACAUUAGACUUUAUUAGAGUUAUAAUUUCUUGUAUAAUAAAUAAAAGGCUUUUUUUCCCUCUUCCUUUUAGGUCAACUUUCUUUUUAUGAUGCAAAUUCAAAACAGCUGCUGUAUUCUUUUAAGACAAAGUUUACUCAGCCAGUACUGCCUGGUUUCAUGGUUAGUACCUAAUUUAUAUUUUAUUUAGUUUGACAACUUUAAGAAGAAUAAUCUUUAUUAUUUGGGAAGCAAACAUCCUAUUUUUUUCUUCAUAGUCAUCUCCCUUUCUCCAUUCCACUCUCUGAAAUAUGCAAUUUUUUCUGUACAAUUUUGGUAUACUUUGUUGAAGUCAAUGUUGAUAAAUAAAGGUACACAAAUCAUAAGCAUGUAGUUUAGUGAACUGUUAUAGGACUGUAUUUGCUUUUGUAACUAGACCCUAGGAUAAGAAAGAGAACAUUACCAGAAUCUCAGAAGCCCCUGUGCCCAUUUCCAGUCCCUAAUGGCUCGUCUCCAAAGUGUAACCAGUACUGUAAAUUUAAAUACCUUAAGUUCAUUUACCACUUCUUUAUAUAUAAGUGGAAUUAUAUCUUUCUGACUCCAAAUUAUAUAUGUGAGGUUUAUCCAUGUACCAUGUUGUAAUUCCUUCAUUCUCACAGUUAUAUAGCUUUCCAUUAUAUGACUAUAUAAUAAUUUACCCAUUUUAAUUUAGUUGAAUAUGUGGAUGGUUUCCAUUUGGGACUGUAUGUGUAUAUAAUUUCAGAUCUACUCAGUUACAGACUUACUUAUAUAAGAAAAAUUCAUAUUUCAUACAAAUUGAAACAUGGAUUUGAAUUCCUUAUUUUUAAGCAAAUGUUGUUGUUCCUUCCAACACCUUAACAUUCUACAUUUCUCCAUAAAGUUAGGCUACUGUGGGAAAUUCCAAGAUCCAGUUAAGGUCACCAUUACUUUGGUGAGAACUUUCCUUGAUGUGGGGACUCCCUGUAUAAAUCAGAUGAUAUAAUUCAAGUACAGGUUCUGUGGAGUGUUUUAUGUGUGUAGUCUUUCAUUACCCCUAAAUAUAAUCCCCCAAUAUGAAGAGGAAGUAUUUAGGAUAUAUAUGGGUUGAAAACACAGUGCUUUAAAUCUCAUGACAAAUAGUAUUUUUUUAUUCUAGAUACCCUAAAAUAUUAAACUUAAUGCUAACAAAGACUCCUGGUUUUUCACUGAAAUCAGAAGUAAAUAGUGAAUAAAGUUAUUGCUCAUGGAAAAAUUAUUAGAAGAUAUUAGAUGGAUUGUUUCUCUCUUUUUUAUUUUUUUGUUGCCUUUUUUUUUUUUUUUUCACUUUACUACAAAUCUCCACUGUAUUGGAUAUUUUGGGCUGUUUUUCCAAAUUGGCCAAUUAGAGACAAAUUGUUUACCAUAUGGAACUCAGAAGAGAUUUUUUUUUCAAUUCGUAGAUGUACUUUUAUAAAAGAUAUUUCACUUGUAAUAUGAAUCUAUUUCAUGUAGAUAGGUACUGAGUUUAUUCAUUGUUAUUUUCAUUCCAUAUAAGGAGACUAAUUACACAUCUGCAUCAUAAGAUGCUUUACAAAAUUAUUUUAAACUUGUUUUUUUCUUCUUUUAAGUCUUUUGUUUAUUACGUAAAUGAGUAUUAAUAUUUUCAUAUAUGAUUAAUUUUUAAAGCCAGGUUUAUGAGCUAUAAUUUAUAGUAUUGUAUAAUUCUGUGGGUUUUGACAAAUGCAAAAACAAAACCACCAUCAUGAUCAAGAUAUAAAACAUUUCAGCACUAUAGAAAAUUUCUUUAUAUUCCUUUGUAGUGGACGCCUCCCAUUACACCCAGCCCUAGUAAUACGUAAACCAUUUUUAGUCCCUGUAGUUUUGCUGUUUCCACAAAGUCAUGUAAAUGGAAUUGUAAGGUAUAUAAUCUUUUGUUUAUGUAGCAUAAUGCAUUUGAAACUCAUCCAUGUUGUUGUGUUUGUUAGCUUUUUUUUUUUUUACUGCUAAGCGGGUUUUCAUAUAUGUAUACACCACAGUUUAUUCAUUCAUUCACCAGUGGAAGGACAUUUAAGUUUUUUCCAGUUUGGGGCAAUUAUGAAUAAACGUGCAGUAAACAUUCACGUGAGGUUUUUGUGUGAACAUACAGUUUCAUUUCUCUUGGGCACAUAUCUAAUAUAUGGUAGGGUUCCUGAAUUACAUUGUAAAUGUAUGUUUAUAGAUGCAAAAAUUAUUAACAAAAUAUUGGUAAAUCACAUAGAAAAACACAUUUAAUAGAUAUUGCACCAUGAUCAAGUGGUUUUCAUCCCAGGUGUGCAAGGUUGGUUCAACAUAUGCAAAUCAAUAAAUGUAAUUCAUCACAUUAAGUAGAAUUAAGGACAAGAAUCGCAUGGUUAUCUCAAUAGAUGAAGAAAAUGUAUUUGACAAAGUCACACCCAUUCCUGUUCAAAACACUAGAGAAGCUAAGGAUAGAAGGAACUUAUCUCAACAUUGUAAUAGCUAUAUAUGACAAACCCAAGGCCAGCAUUACACUGAAUGAAGAAAAACUGAAAGCAUUUUCACUGAAAACAGGAACAAGACAAAGAUGCCCACUCUCACCACUCCUAUUCAACAUAGUUCUUGAAACUAUAGCCAGAGAAAUCAGGCAAGAGAAGGAAAUUAAAGGAAUACUAAUAGAAAAAAAAAAAAAAAAAAAGCUCAAAUUACCCCUGUUUACUUAUGACAUGAUCCUCUACUUUUUAGACCCAAAAAACUCUACCAGAAGAUUUCUAGAGCUGAUAAACACAUUUAGUAAAGUAGCAGGAUACAUAAAUCAAUCACUUUCUUAUGCUCUAAUAACGAAUCUGCUGAAAAAGAAAUUAGGAAAACUGCUCUCAUUCACAAUAACCUUUAAAAAAAAAAGUAAAAUAAAAUACUUGGGAAUUAACCUAAUGAAGGAUGUGAAGGACGUCUACAUUGAAAACUAGAACACUGAAGAAAGAAAUUUAAGAAGACUUAGAGGAUGGAAAGGCCUCCCAUGUUCUUAGAUAUGCAGAAUUAAUAUUGUCAAAAUGGCCAUACUACCAAAAGUAUUUGAUGCAAUCUCCAUCAAAAUGACAUUUUGCACAGAACUAGAAAAAGCAGUUCUAAAAUUCAUUUGGAAAAAUAAGAAACCCAGAAUAGCUAAAGUAAUCCUGAGCAAAAAAGAGUUAUGAUGGAGGUACUGCAGGCAUCAUGAUACUGGACAUCAAAUUAUACUACAGAGCUAUAUUAACAGAAACAGCAUGGUACUGGCACCAAAACAGACAUGAAGACCAAUGGAAAUGAAUAGAAAAACAGAGACAAACCCACAUAAAUACAGUUAUCUGAUGGUAGACAAAGAUGCCAAAAACAUGUUGGAGAUAAUACACACUUUUUAAUAAAUAGUGCUGGGAAAACUGGAAAUCCACAUGUAGAAGAAUGAAACUUGACCCCUCUCACCCCACACAAAUCAACUCAAAGUGGAUCAAAGACCUAGGAAUUAGACCAAAAAUUCUGCAACUACUAGAAGAAAAUGUAGGCCCAAUGCUUGAACAUGUUGGCACAGGAACCAGCUUCCUUCAUGAGACUCCUAAGGUCCAAUAAAUAAUACCAAAGAUCAAUAAGUGAGAUGGCAUCAAAUUAAAAAGCUUUUGGCUGGGAGUGGUGACACAUGCCUGUAAUCCCAGCAACUAGGGAGACAGGAGGAUUGUGAGUUCAAAGCCAGCCUUAGCAGAAGUGAGACACUAAGCAACUCAGUGAGACUCUGUCUCUAAAUAAAAACAAAAUUGGGCUGGGGAUGUGGCUCAGUGGUUGAAUGCCCCUGAGUUCAAUCCCUGGUAUAGAAAAAAGAAAAAAAAAAUUGCAUGGCAAAAGAAACAAGAGUAUGGAGAGGGCCUUGAGAAUGGGAGAAGAUCUUUGCCACGUGCUCCUCAGGUAGGACGCUAGAAUAUAUAUAAAGAACUUAGAAAACAACAUUAGGAAAAACAACACAAUAAAUUGCCGCAGUCUGGCUGGGCACAAAUGCCGCAGUCUGGCUGGGCACACAAUCACGAGCCACCACACAGCUUGUAGAUUCAAACAGCAACUCUUUAUUCCGGAACUCACACCAGCCGUCUACAAUCACGUUCUGGGGAAAUCCACGUUCUCUGCCCAAAUCCACGUCCACUGGGCUUCUAUCUCCAAAAUAUAUUGUCUGAAUCCCGUGAGAACUCAAGGGGAACUCAGGCAGCAGGAUACGCCCUAUUCCCAGCAGGAAUAAUCUUAAACCUUAAACCUGGAACCUAAACUGGGAACGCCCUAAACACGAUUAUCUUAAAACCGGGAACACCCUAAUCUGCCUUGGUCCUUGAGCAAGGUCACGUACAUUCAAUGUCACUGCAACAUGUCAGCAACAUGGGGUACGCUGGCAAGGAAAUUGUCAUACCUAUUUGGCUAAUGGCUCCCAGCAAUAAAUAGGCAAAAGAACUAAAUGGACACUUCUCAGAAGAAAUACAAAUGGUCAUAAAUAUAAGAAAAAAUGUUCAGCAUCUCUAGAAAUAGGGCAAUGCAAAUCAAAACUACAUUGGUAUUUCCUAAUGGCAGUUAAUAAUAAAUGUUGGUGAGGAUGUGGAGGGGAAAGUAUACUCUCAUUGUUGGUGUGAUUCCAAAUUAUUGCAACCACUCUCACUUCUCAGUACGUAUCCAAAAGAUGUAAGAUCAGCAUAUUAUAGGAAUGUAGCCACAUCAAUGUUUAUAGCAGCACAAUUCCAACAGCCAAGUUAUUAAGCCAACUGAGGUUCCCCUUCCAACAAAUGAAUGGAUAAAGAAAAAUAUAUAUAUAUAUAUAUACACACACACACACAAUGGAGCAUUACUAAGCCACAAAAAAGAAUGAAAUUAUGACAUUUGCUGGUAAAUGUAUGGAACUGGAGACUAUAAUGCUAAGUGAAAUAAGCCAGUCCCUCAAAGUCAAAGGUAAAAUGUUUUCUCUCAUAUUCAGAAGCCAGUCCAGAAUAAGGGAGGAAGGGAGUGGGGGAGAGAAAAGGUGAGGGAAUUCCAUCAGAAUUGAAGAAAGAUUAGUGGACUAUAUUAAGGGGAUUGAGGGGCAGGGAAGAGGGACAGGCUAAGGGAAUAACAGUGGAAUGAAUCUGAUCUAACUUUCCUAUGUACAUAUAUGAAUAUACAGUCUCACCAUCAUGCAUAUCCAUGACAUUAAUAAAAAAAAAACUAAUAGAUCAGGAGAAUAGAGGGAAGGAACAUGGGGAGGAAAGAGAAGGAGGAAAGGGCAAGUACUGAGGACUAAAUUAGAGCAAAUUAUGUUCUUUUAUAAUUAUUUCAAAAUGAAUCUUAAUAUUACAUAUAAUAAAAAGAACCAAUAAAAAUUCUUUUUCCUUAAAAGCUUUGUAAAAAGCUACCAAAAUGUUUGCCACGGUGGCUGUACCAUUUUUGCAUUACAACAGCCAUGUUUAAGUUUUUCAUAUCCUUGUAUCAUUUGGUAUUGUCAAAUUUUUCUUACUGUCCACAAGCCAUUUUCUUACUGUCCAUAAGCCAUAUAUAGUGGGUUUUUUAUCCUGUUGUUAUUUGCAUUUUCCUACUGACAAAUUAUGUUGAGCAUAUCUUUUCAUGCACUUAUUUUCCACUUGCAUAAUUUCUCUGGUGAAGUAUGUGUUACAAUUCUCUACUCACUUUUCUUGGGAUAUUAAUUUGUUUUCUUAUUGUUUUAAGAGUUCUUUAUAAAUUUUGGGUAUAAAUGCAAAAAUUUUUGCAGAUGUUACCUCCCAGUUCAUAGCUUGACUUUUCAUUUUAUAGACAUUUCCAAAGUGAAGUUUUUUAUUUUCAGAUGAAGUCCAAUUUAUCCAUUUUUUUCCCAUUUGUGGAUAAUGCUUUGCUUAUACGUACCUAUACAUAUGCAUGGCAUACAGGUCACAAAGAUUUUCUCUUGUAUUUCUUCCUAAAGUUUUACAGUUUUAGGUUCUCUUUUUAGGUCUAUGAUCCAUUUUUAGUUAGCUUUUGUAUAGUAUAGUUGGAGUUUCAUGUUCUCUGUAUAUUGAUAUCCAGUUCUUCUAGUACCAUUUGUUGAAAAAGAUUUUAACUUUCUCAUUAUCACCUUUGUGCUAUUUUGAUUAAAUAUUUUUCUAAGUCAAUUAAAUAACUUUUAAAAGGUAACCUAUAAAUUUUAUAAUUUGAGGAUUGAUUUGUGUUUUGGGAGUUUAUCAUUACUGAGCCUGCUAGUUUUAAAAAUUUAGAAUGUUAAUUGUAUUAGUUAUAAAUUUUACAGAGCAGUAGAUUCUUUGGUUAAAUACGCUGUGUAGUAAAUACUGAAUGAUACAGGAUAUAAUUGAGAGUGAAUAUACAUAAAGAACUUGAAUUUUCCUUGCACAAACUAAUGAUAAUUUAGAUGGUCCAUAUGUUCAUAUUUUAAGCAUCUUGACUUUUUCAAAUCUUUUUUACUUUAUCAAAUCAGUAUUUUUUCACAUGCAAAGCAGUUAUAUCUUUCAUAAAUUCAUUCAUAUUUUUCAUAAUUAAUAGAACAUGGCAAGUACAUAUGGAUGUUGUCAUUUGCAGUUUUCUUAGAAGUCCUUCUCAAAAAAUUAUUCAAGUUCUUAUUGUUAAAAACACAGGGAAGAAAUCAAAUGGUUUUUAUUCUGUUAACACAGGGUUGUUAGAUUCCUAUGGUAACAUCAAAACCAAAAGCAAUGAUUGGAAUAGGGAAGUUGAUUCUUUGUACACUUUCCUUGGUUGUGAAGGUUAACAUCAGUAAUGAUAGCCAGUUUCUUUUGCACAGAUUGAUCCAGUUCAGUUUCUCAAUUUCUGCAGCCCUGAGUUUCCACUCUUGGGUUCAGCUUUGUUGGCUUCAGCUACCACAAAGACUUCCUUUUGGCCUUUGCAGCUUUAAAAGAAUACUGAGCCUCUCUACUUCCCCUCAGCUCAAAUAUGAAGGUUAUCAAUUUGGGAUCUGUCAAUUUUCAUAUGCAUGGCAUUUGCCUUUCAAAUAGAAAUUUAAGAAUCAUUUAAUUUCUUAAAAAAAAAAGAAUCAUUGAAUUUCUGAUUUGAGUUGAAAUCUGACUUGAGAUUUGUUUUUGUCUUUUCUUAGGUUUGGUGUGGUGGACUUUCUUUGAGUACUGGGAUGCAGGUUCCAAGUGCUGUGAGAACACUUCAGAAAAGUGAAAAUGGAAUGACUGGUUCAGCCAGCAGCCUGAACAAUGUUACUCAGUAACGCCUAUGCAGAAUGUUUACCCUCCCUCUUGACUGGGUGGCCUUUUCUGUGCAGUUACCUAUCACAGAAAUUUGUGAGUGGUGGAAAUCAGGUUUGCUAUGUUCUGCUUUAAGGCCUGGAAUCUCUUAGCUUAAGCAUCUAGUAUGAAGCAUUUACAGGAAUCUACUGUGCAAUAUCAUAGAAGCAAGCAGUUCUGGAGCAAGAAACUGAUGUUUUGAAGAGUAAAUAGGAAAGAAGGCAGUGUUUAAAUAUUUAUAUAGAAACUCGUUUUUGUGUUUCUUUAAUUACUUUUGUUCUUUUAAAAUGUUUAAUUACAUUUGGUAAUCCUAGGGCCUGAAGUGAAAGGCUUUAAAAAUUUGCUUUUCUUUCUUGACUUUCUUUUUUCCUAUCUCAUCACUACCUGUUAUUUAGUAUACACUAAAUCUUUAAAAUUACAUAGCCCCAGCCCCACCAAGGUUUUCUAAAAAUUGAAAUCAUUGAUUGGGGACAGUAGAAGUUUGUUUUUUUUUUUUUUUCUUACAAUGGUGUAUUUCCCCCUUUUAUAAAUAAGUUGAGUUUUGCUAAAUUAACCUAUUUACUGACUAGUUUUUAUCUCAUCUUCUACUUUCCAGAAUAUAUUGGUAUUUCUCUUGUAGUUAUAACUCCAAAUACAGAGUGAAUAUGAAGAAUUUAAAAAGCUUAAAAUCACCCAGAUUUCAGUUUUGUAUCUGCUAUAGUAACACAAUGGCAAAGGGUUUGCUCUGACUACUUUGCAUUCCAUCACUUUGAAUGUUCAGCAAGAUUUUUAAAAGCCUUAUGUUUUCUGGUAUUGUUGUCUACUUUAACCCUACCUUUAGUAGUUAUCUUUGAUAAAAUUCCCCACUCAUAUUUGGCACUGAUUGUAAUUAUACUCAUUUUUUUAAAAAAAUUAAUAGGAAUGAAAAAAUUUUUAACAUGGUUAAGGGUAGAAUACCAAAGGGAUGUACCUAAAAGUAUUCUUUAGUAAUUAUUUAUUCUUUUUAAUAAGAUGUAGGAAAGGUUGAAACAACUGGAAAAAAAUCUACAUAUCUCUGACUUAAUUGGUGUGUUUUUCAACCAACCAUUCAGAGGUUUUGGGGGUUUUUACCCCCUUAUCCUUUUUGCUAAAGUCAUAUGCUUUUUAAAGGGGUAUAAUUCUUCUAAAAAUCAACAUAGUCAUGUUUCCCAGCCUUGGGAGUGGUAUAUUUAAAUUUAAACAAUGAGUGGUAUUGAACAGAACAAAUCUAUUCUUAAAAAAUUGAUCAAAGUUUGUUACUCAAGUCCUUUGAGCUAAACUAAAAGUUAUAAUUACAGUAUUUAAGAUUUCCUUGAGCAUUUUAAAGAAAUUAAAAUUUAUAUUUUACUUAGUUUUUAAUUUCUUUUAUUCUUUCAUUCUCAUUUUAAAUAUCUUGUAAUAUGACAGCCUUCUUCUGUACCUUUGUUGCUUACAUUUGAGUUGUUUUCUAUAAAAAGACCUGCCCUCUUAAAAUUUACUGCUUACGAUAUGAUGUUUUGUUUCAUUGAUAAAAACAGAUGUAAAUGAGGACUUAUAUUUGACCUGGGGUAUUAUUUUCUUUUCUAGAGGACAGAUAUCCACACUAUUAUCUAAUAAUAGGUUGGUAAUUUUAAAGACUGUAAGGCAGUUAAGGGAAUAAAGUAUGUCAAUAGAUAGUCUUGAGUCUCCAAGUAUAAUUUUGGUUUUUGUUUGUUGUAUUUGGAAAGAAAUUUUUGGAAAGUUCUAUUCCCUAUAGAAGGGCUAUUCUAAGACCCAAGGAAACAGGAAUUUAUUUCCUUUCACACUCCAAAGCAGUAAUUUAGUGGAGUGGCUUUGUGUGAAAAGCUGUACACAGUAUAUUUUAGCAAAUACAAAACAAAAAAACCCAGAUGUUCUUGUAUAGAAUUUUUUUUACUAUUAUGUAUUAUAUAAUUGUCUUCUCAUUAAUUCAGUGCCUUUUUCCUCUAAGCAUGCUCUUUCUUCAUGCCUCAUGCAGUGUCAACUGAUAUUUAAGCCAGACAUAUUACAGUUGUGAGAGCCUUCUGUUGCAAGGGCAUGGGAAAAAUGAAAUAUUAAUUGGGCUGAAAGAGUGCAUACAAUUCUUUUUUGUGUUCUGCCAUCAUUUGGAAUUUGCAUAUAAAUUUUCUAACACUCAUUUGCAAAAUGUUCUAAUUUCAUUGGGAAUUAAUUACUAGCAGCUUUGUAGUAAUAAAUUCAGUAAAUCUGGAGUCCAAGCUCACAUCACAUGUAAUACUUGAUAUUAAAUUAUACCAUCAUUACAUCAAAAUUAGAAUCUGAAGGCUCCCUCUCUGCUGCUGCUUCAGGGUCUCUAAAUUAAGAGCAAAAUGUGAAGUGUUUUAGUUUAACAAUUUUAAGUUGGAUGAAAAAGUCUGUCAUCCUCAUUUUUAAACUAAAAAAUAAUUGAAUAUAGUGCCUAUUUAAAUAAUCUCAAAUAAGGUAACUAUUAACUUGAUAAUAUUUAACAUUUUCAUUGAUGUUUUGAGUUAUAAUGAGCUCUCUUGCUCAAUUCAUUAUGGAAAGUUGCUAAACACUUUUAAAUAUCCUUUAUUGCUUUAUUUACCUUUUGUUUUGACAGGUCAAACAUGACUGCUUUCUAUAAAAGAAAUGCAUGAGAAGUUGACUAUCGUAGGUGCAAAAAUUAUGUUUUAUAAAAAUAUGCAUUAGUAUUGCAUUUCCCUCUUACCAGUUGAAUUCCAAGCCAGUUGUAUUAAACUGGAUAUAGAAAUGAAGGAGCUGCCUUAAGCACUUUAGAAAAGGAAAUUUUCUACAAUUCAUUUUGACACUUGCAGCUUACCAUGUCACAUACAUCUUUAACUUUGGUAAAUAUGUAUAUACCAAGCAUUUAAUAAUAAUGCACAUAGAAAUUUAAUAUACAGUAAUUAUUUGAAUGUUCCAGGUAUAGGUGAAUAAAUUUACAGUAUUAGGGGCAUAUCUUGUCUGUACAUGGGUUUAAUUAUUGGCAUCUGUACCAUUUGACAAACCAUUAACUACUGCUAUACAGCUUACCUUGUUCUGCAAAUAGUAACCAUUCCCUGUGUUAUAUAAAGUGACAUAUUAACUUGCAUUUAUUUUCUCAUUUAUGAAAUUAAAGCAUGAAUAAUAUCAUGUAUAAUUUGAACUGUGAUCCUUGGUGGUAUAAAUAAUAAAAGUAAAUAUUUGUGAUAAAAUCUUUUAAUUAGGCUAAGAUAUUGUUUCAUGACUUACUUAGAAUAAUUAGGUUUUUUUAUGUUUCCAUAAAAUUUUUGUUAUUUGUAUAUUAUUAUUUCUUUUAAAAACAAUUUUGGAAAAGGAUAUAUGUUAAAAAUGAUUAUUCCUCAAAGAGUUUUAAAAGAAAGUAUAACAUCUUAUUAUGAAAUAUGUGAUUCUGGGGUUUAAAAAUUUGGCAAUUUUCAAAUCAUCAUAAUUUCUUAAAGAAUGUAUUUAUUAGAUCUGUGUUCAUUGAUAGGCUAAUUCAUAAAACAAAUAUUUGAGUGUCUGUGAUAUGGCAGUGAAAAUUUUAUUACUUUGCAUUCACAUUUUCAAAACUAGUGUAUUCAAUUUAUUGUGCAGCUAGUUUUGCUUCUUUUUAGUAUGCUGAGACUGCAUUUUAAAAAUAAUGUUUUGUUAAAAAGUCAGAAGUGUUAAAAAGUAAAUUUGUUAGUUUUUAAAAAGCUCAAAUUAACUGCGUAUAAUAUGGUUCACUUUUAUGUAAUCACAUAACAUAGGUUCAGCAAAGCUUAUUUCUUGAGUUUAUUUUUACUAGAUAUAGUCUUUCAGAGAAGUGUAUGGUCACUCUGUAUACAGGUAACCAUAAAAUUAUUUGUUAUUUUUAACCAAAACGUACAUUUCAUAAUGCCAGCACUGGAGUAUUAUAAAGAUCAUGUUUUCUUAGCCAUCAUAGCAAGAUUACCUCAUGUUCAUAGUAGUUUUAGUGGGUUUUUUUUUUUACAGUAUUUACAUUUCUGCAAUUAUGUGUGAUUUUUAAUGUCACAUAUGAUAGCACUGUUACCUGGAAUAUAUGAUUAACCUACAUAAACAUUUUUAAUUGGUUUUGGACAUGUCAUAUAAAGGUUAGUACUGGCUUAAUAAACAGAUACCAGAAAUUGCCACCGUACUUUUCUCCUUGGACUACCCAAUUAUUAAGCUAAAAGUAUUUGUUAUUUUGGGGUCAGUAUAGGGUACUGACUUUUGAUUCAUAAUCUUUUAAGUUAUAUUUGUUUAAGGUGAUAUGUUUUCUUAAUAAUACCCAGUCAAUAUAUGUUAGUCCUUAGGAAUGGAUGUAUAGAGGAUUUCACAGUAAUGUAGGGCAGAAGGUAGGUGAACGUGUUUGCUUUGGCUUGGCACUUAUUAAGUUUGGACUAAUUUAAAAUAAGUCAAAUUGUAAGUGAUUGGCAAAAGCCAUUUUAUUAAUAUUGGAACUUUUUGGAGAGCACAGAACAAUGAGAAUCCAUCUUUUAAAAACAUAUAUAAAACAUUUCUGAUAUCUCUAAGGUACCAAAGCACUGAGUCUAAUUCACCUAAUCUAAGGGAGACUCUUUAAAAUCAAAUUUAUAACUAAUUCAUACUAUAAGAUACAUAAUAGCUAAAGUUUUAGAGUAAUAUAAUUUAUAUUAAAAACCACUAGUCUUUAAAAUACCUAUAUGUGAUAUUAAGAUGAUUUUGGCAUCUUUUUCAAAAGUAUUCAAAAUUUAUCACCUUAGCUUUGUCAUAUACUAGGUCUGUGACAAUUGUGUAAAUCACUCAUCACCUUUGGGCCUCUGUUGCCUUACUUAACUCAUUAUGUCUCAAUUUCCCAAAUAUAAGACACCUAUAAAAACCUAUAAAAUUGCUCAAUUUAAGUUUUUAUAGGUGUCCUAUACAUAGGAGGAGACAGUGGGUUAAAAUAAUUGUAACUUGUUCAGCCUACCUCACAGGGCUGUUGUGAGGAAUAAAUGGAUGGAGUAUGUGAAAUUGCUUCAACAACAGCAAAGUGCUAUGUAAAUGUAAGCUGUUAUUUUUAGUUAAUGGAUUUAAGUGUUCGGAUACUUCUAAAUGCCAUUUACUUUGAUAAAGCAUGUUCUUAAAGUGGUAUCAUCAUUGAUUUUAAAUGUGAUUUUUAAAAUAAAACCUUUUAUCAAGAUGUCAUAUAAUAUUAAUUUAGUUUGUGCAUUACUUGUGGCCUUUUAAUAUUUUCUUAUCUAUUUUAAGACUUUUUAGAGUAGUAAAAGUUCUUCCAUGGCAUUAGUGUAUCAGUGUAGAAGUAUAGCAUAAAGAAACAGUUUUUAAGCAAGCUGCUACUUUUCCAUACAGGAAUUUGAACUUUCAGCUUAAGACUACUCAGUGCCAUGUGCAAAGAGUGAAUUUGGCCUGAAUAACUUUUUUUCCAAACAACUAAAUGGUUCAGGAGUUUGUGUGCUCAGUGAACAUUUGACAACAGUAUUGCAUUGUCCUUUUUAAAAAACAAGAUGCAUUUCAAAACCUUGUAGUAAACCUAAAUAUCAUUUAUUAUCUCACAUACUUAUUUUGCUUUAAAUUAGAUUUAUUAAUGGGGAUUUUUACAAGUUAUGUUAAUCUACAAAUUUCAUAUGUCUAUUAUCUGGACAUGGUUUCACUAUGCAGUAAUAAAAAUUCUAAUUCCUCAGGUUUAACCUUUAAGUUAUGGAUGAAGAACAUUAAUAAACCACAUAUAUGCUCAGUUCUGCAACACUGAGUUAAUGAACAUAUUGCCUCAUUUUCCUUAGAAACAACACAAAGCUUUAAAAUGGUUGUCUUUAAAAUAGAGUAUUUGAAGUGUAGUAACUUGUAUGUUUAAGUAAUAGUAUGUUGUGUAUAGAAUAUCCUAGUUAAGUUUUUACAAAAGCACUUGGAAUAUCUCAUCUAAAAAUUAAACAUUUUUCUCUUUCUUUUGCUUCAGUGCUUGA
Molecule: long non-coding RNA, 22515 nt
Filed under: Marmota monax (woodchuck)
Lineage: Eukaryota; Metazoa; Chordata; Mammalia; Rodentia; Sciuridae
Source: RNAcentral